RNAcentral lists this non-coding RNA (27 nucleotides) under Rattus norvegicus (Norway rat). Lineage: Eukaryota; Metazoa; Chordata; Mammalia; Rodentia; Muridae. The record is from RNAcentral.
UGGGGCCCUAACUGGACAAACUUGCUG